Molecule: ribosomal RNA, 728 nt
Filed under: Tubakia dryina
Lineage: Eukaryota; Fungi; Ascomycota; Sordariomycetes; Diaporthales; Tubakiaceae
Description: eukaryotic LSU rRNA
Rfam family: Eukaryotic large subunit ribosomal RNA
Source: RNAcentral
AGCUCAAAUUUGAAAUCUGGCUUCGGCCCGAGUUGUAAUUUGCAGAGGAUGCUUUUGGUGCGGUGCCUUCCGAGUUCCCUGGAACGGGACGCCACAGAGGGUGAGAGCCCCGUAUGGUCGGACACCAAUCCUGUGUAAAGCUCCUUCGACGAGUCGAGUAGUUUGGGAAUGCUGCUCUAAAUGGGAGGUAAAUCUCUUCUAAAGCUAAAUACCGGCCAGAGACCGAUAGCGCACAAGUAGAGUGAUCGAAAGAUGAAAAGCACCUUGAAAAGGGGGUUAAACAGUACGUGAAAUUGUUGAAAGGGAAGCACUUGUGACCAGACUUGGGCCGGGCGGCUCAUCAGGGGUUCUCCCCUGUGCAUUCCGCCCGGUACAGGCCAGCAUCGGUUCUUACCGGGGGAUAAGAACGGCAGGAACGUGGCUCCCUCUCGGGGGAGUGUUAUAGCCUGCCGUACGAUACCCUGGCGGGGACCGAGGUUCGCGCUUCCGCAAGGAUGCUGGCGUAAUGGUUACUAGUGACCCGUCUUGAAACACGGACCAAGGAGUCGUCCAUUAGAGCGAGCGUUUGGGUGUAAAACCCGCACGCGUAAUGAAAGUGAAAUUAGGUGAGAGCUUCGGCGCAUCAUCGACCGAUCCUGAUGUUCUCGGAUGGAUUUGAGUAAGAGUUUUAACGGACGGACCCGAAAGACAGUGAACUAUGCUUGUAUAGGGUGAAGCCAGAGGAAACU